CUUAUCUAAGCUUGUCCAGCUGGUACGUGGCUGAGCCAGGAUUCAAUGUGAAUCCCAGUCUGUGUGAGCCCCUGAACGUUCUGGUAUAGCCGGCAGCAUCCCUGGCCUGGAAUAAAACGGUGCUGCAUUGAGCAAGAGGGGAGAGGAAAAUACUUACUGGCCGAAGGUGCAGGGGAGAAGUUCAAAGGGAGCAGCCCUGGGAGGAGCGUGCUGAACUCGCAUGGGGUCAGCGAAGGCUUCUUGGAACUGGAGGGUCUGUUGGAGCCAGUUCAAACUGUAGAUUGUGAGUUGUCUCCACUUUCUCAACCAGAGAAGGAGGGUCUGAGUGAGGAUUUGGGCCAAACAGCAGUUGCUGUCUACACAGCACAGAGACCCUUCCUUUAAGAAGAUUCAGGGAGCCGGGCAGAGCACAUGUGGUGUGAGAGCUCACUGCAGAAACCACGGCUCCCCUCCCUCAUCAGAUGGACAACCAGGCGGCCCACCGCCUCGGAGCCCUGGGCUUGCAACACUCACAGAACAGCAACUGGCCUCCCGCAGAAGUGAGAAGGAAACAACCCCACCCCCAAGCCCCAGGCUGUGGAGGGGCCUGGCCAUCCACGAGGGCCAGAGGGUGUCCUGGCUGAGAGAGGAGGUGGCGCAGGCACCAGGUGCUAGGGUGCCAGGGCCUCCUGAGAAGGAACAGGUGUGAAACAGGGCAAUUAGCUCAGGGGGACAGGCCCCCUGGACCUGAUCGAGGAAGCCACCAGGAUUACAUCAUCUGCUGGCCUGGGACUCCUCAGAACGACUGUACCCUCACGGAAAGAGCAGUCUUCUCUGGCUUUUCGGGCUCGAAUCCUGGCUUUGGCAACUCCUGGCUGUCCUGUCUGGACAAGUCGCUUACACAUCCUGAUCAUCAGUGUCCCUUUCAUCCAAUGAGGAUAAUAAUACACGCUCUUCAUCCUUUCA
Molecule: long non-coding RNA, 945 nt
Organism: Phacochoerus africanus (Common warthog)
Lineage: Eukaryota; Metazoa; Chordata; Mammalia; Artiodactyla; Suidae
Exons: 2
Source: RefSeq, a predicted model, not a curated record